This 460-nucleotide ribosomal RNA is filed under the name uncultured bacterium. Its description in RNAcentral is "partial 16S ribosomal RNA". It matches the Rfam family "Bacterial small subunit ribosomal RNA", at positions 338 to 795 of the family's 1533-position model. The record is from RNAcentral.
CCUACGGGUGGCAGCAGUGAGGAAUAUUGGUCAAUGGGCGCGAGCCUGAACCAGCAAAGCAGCGUGAAGGAUGACUGCCCUACGGGUUGUAAACUUCUUUUAUAAAGGAAUAAAGUGAGGCAAGUGUGCCUUUUUGUAUGUACUUUAUGAAUAAGGAUCGGCUAACCACGUGCCAGCAGCCGCGGUAAUACGGAGGAUCCGAGCGUUAUCCGGAUUUAUUGGGUUUAAAGGGAGCGUAGAUGGGUUGUUAAGUCAGUUGUGAACGUUUGCGGCUCAACCGUAAAAUUGCAAUUGAUACUGGCAGUCUUGAGUACAGUUGAGGUAGGCGGAAUUCGUGGUGUAGCGGUGAAAUGCUUAGAUAUCGCGAAGAACUCCGAUUGCGAAGGCAGCUUACUAAACUGCCACUGACAUUGAUGCUCGAAAGUGUGGGUAUCAAACAGGAUUAGAUACCCUUGUAGUC